Molecule: long non-coding RNA, 355 nt
Organism: Orcinus orca (killer whale)
Lineage: Eukaryota; Metazoa; Chordata; Mammalia; Artiodactyla; Delphinidae
Exons: 3
Source: RefSeq, a predicted model, not a curated record
GCUCAGGGCACAGAAGCCACGAUCCAAGCCAUCAACGGUGGACACACAGAUGGCUGACUGGUGCAGCCAAGGGACCCGUUACCUCUCGGCCAAGGCCGCCUGACCGUGGGGCCCCGGGAGUCCGUGUGCACACAGGGGCCCAGACCCCGGGCCUGCCUGCCGGGCCCACCUUUGAGUAGGUCCACGGUGCGCAGCUCGAAGGGGAUGUCGUUCUUCUUGGCGAAGAUGUAGACGGCGCGGCAAGGCUGGGACAGCAAGUCCAGGGCCAAACCCCUCCAACUACAACCCUGGAGCUCCUGAAGUCUGUGGCUAUGAUGCCCUCAUUCUCUAAGCAAGCGUCCUGGAUAAAAAACCC